Molecule: ribosomal RNA, 253 nt
Filed under: uncultured bacterium
Lineage: Bacteria
Description: partial 16S ribosomal RNA
Rfam family: Bacterial small subunit ribosomal RNA
Source: RNAcentral
UACAGAGGUCUCGAGCGUUAGGCGGAAUCACUGGGCUUAAAGCGUGUGUAGGCGGCUCGGUAAGUACCUUGUGAAAUCCCACAGCUUAACUGUGGAACUGCUUGGUAUACUGCCAGUCUUGAGCCAGCUAGGGGCUACCGGAACAAAUGGUGGAGCGGUGAAAUGCGUAGAUAUCAUUUGGAACGCCAAUGGUGAAAACAGGUAGCUGGGGCUGUGCUGACGCUGAGACACGAAAGCCAGGGGAGCGAACGGG